GAUGAAGAACGCAGCGAAAUGCGAUAAGUAAUGUGAAUUGCAGAAUUCAGUGAAUCAUCGAAUCUUUGAACGCACAUUGCGCCCGCCAGUACUCUGGCGGGCAUGCCUGUUCGAGCGUCAUUUCAACCAUCAAGCCCCAGGCUUGUGUUGGGGACCUGCGGCUGCCGCAGGCCCUGAAAACCAGUGGCGGGCUCGCUGUCACACCGGGCGUAGUAGAUUUUAUCUCGCUCAGGGCGUGCUGCGGGUUCCGGCCGUUAAAAAGCCUUUUUUACCCAAGGUUGACCUCGGAUCAGGUAGGAAGACCCGCUGAACUUAAGCAUAUCAAUAAGCGGAGGA
RNAcentral lists this unclassified non-coding RNA (336 nucleotides) under soil metagenome. RNAcentral describes it as "partial contains 5.8S ribosomal RNA, internal transcribed spacer 2, and large subunit ribosomal RNA". The stretch from base 1 to 120 matches the Rfam family "5.8S ribosomal RNA", at positions 35 to 154 of the family's 154-position model. The record is from RNAcentral.